This 510-nucleotide ribosomal RNA is filed under the name uncultured bacterium. RNAcentral's name for it is "bacterial SSU rRNA". It matches the Rfam family "Bacterial small subunit ribosomal RNA", at positions 1 to 518 of the family's 1533-position model. The record is from RNAcentral.
GAGAGGUUCGAUCCUGGCUCAGGAUGAACGCUGGCGGCGUGCUUAACACAUGCAAGUCGAGCGAAGCGAUCAAAUGAAGUUUCGGACGGAUUUGAAUUGACUUAGCGGCGGACGGGUGAGUAACGCGUGGGUAACCUGCCUCAUACAGGGGGAUAACAGUUGGAAACGGCUGCUAAUACCGCAUAAGCACACAGUGCCGCAUGGUACGGUGUGAAAAACUCCGGUGGUAUGAGAUGGACCCGCGUCUGAUUAGGUAGUUGGUGAGGUAACGGCCCACCAAGCCGACGAUCAGUAGCCGACCUGAGAGGGUGACCGGCCACAUUGGGACUGAGACACGGCCCAAACUCCUACGGGAGGCAGCAGUGGGGAAUAUUGGACAAUGGGGGAAACCCUGAUCCCAGCGACGCCGCGUGAGUGAAGAAGUAUUUCGGUAUGUAAAGCUCUAUCAGCAGGGAAGAAAAUGACGGUACCUGACUAAGAAGCCCCGGCUAACUACGUGCCAGCAGCCGC